CUGUGGUCGCAAAAAUAUAGUCUGUAAAGGUGUUCAGCAUACGGAACACGGUUAGAAUCCGUGACGGUCCCGCCGCUGUAACCCCGCCAUUUUAAUAAUGGAACCCUGUUGGCGUUUUUCGUCACUGUCCCGGAAAACCGGUAUGGGAAGGCGGCCAAAUGGGGCGGGGAAGUCAGAAGACGAGCUGAAUGGCCUUGAUGCAAG
RNAcentral lists this non-coding RNA (204 nucleotides) under uncultured Desulfobacterium sp. The record is from RNAcentral. Lineage: Bacteria; Pseudomonadati; Thermodesulfobacteriota; Desulfobacteria; Desulfobacterales; Desulfobacteriaceae.